Molecule: long non-coding RNA, 1043 nt
Filed under: Olea europaea subsp. europaea
Lineage: Eukaryota; Viridiplantae; Streptophyta; Magnoliopsida; Lamiales; Oleaceae
Source: RNAcentral
UUGUGAUAUAAUUCUUUCUCCCGGACAUAAUAUUCAUCUUGGGUUAAAAAAAAAAUUCGGCUGAAUCGACUACACAUUUUGAGCUCUUCAAGUUGUCUUCAAGGUAUGCCAAUCAAUCUUACUAUUAAUUUGUAAAUUAUGUAGAAAAUAUAAGUACAUAAUCUUGAAUUUUGAGAUUACGUUUUCAAUUUCUCGCUAUGGAAAAGCAAAUAAAUAUGGAGGCUGUUCUUCUGUAUGAAUUUUGAGAUUUGGCAUAUUUGAAGUUGUCCUUUUUGGUUGGUUGUUGCGCUAAGAUAGAGUGGGAUUUUAUCCCCAAUUUUAGGGAGAUCACGGGACUAGGAAAUAAAGGGGAAGUGGCUAGAAGAGGGGUAAUGGAAUCUGCCGUAGCUACUGGUGUUUGAUAACUGUGCUAUACAGAACACAAGCUUUCCCAUUGGUUCAAUCAAAAACUAAGCACUUCUAAUGGAUUUUGUUAUACACGUGAUUAUUUUAAUCAAAGGAUGUCAGAAUUUGCCAUAGAUUAAGGGGUAAUGGAAUUUUUUUCAAGGCAUGGGGAUAACAUAACAUGGGAAUAUAUGAUUUUUCUUUGGUGGAGUGCAGUGCAAUUUGCUUGCUUUGUGACUUUUGGCAUUAUUUUUGAGAUUUUAAUUCAUUUUUUCGAUUUUUCGAAGAAGAUGGUUUUUCUGAAUUAGAAUGUGUAUACUAUAAUCAAGAAUUUAGUACAUUUGGCACUUUGGCAAUGGAUUCCAAUUCAUCAAUUUCUUUUGUGUAUGUUAUUUCUAUGGUUGGAAAGGCAUUGUGUGUUUAAUAUUGCAAUGAGAAUGAUGAUACUCUGAUUGCAAAUAAUAUAUUCAUGUAAAGAUGUCCUUAAACUGGGACAAAUAAUUUAGUCAAGAUUCUUCUUCUCAUUCUAUAUUAACAGUGCACUUUGCAGCUGGUUCUGUAUUGAGUCUUUUGAUCACUAUGUGUUAUUCUGCAUUAACAAUUCACUGUUUGUUUUUAUGCGAAUUCAUCCAUGAUAAACAUGCAAAAUAUUUGCUUCU